CGGUGGUUCACGCCUGUAAUCCCAGCACUUUCGGAGGCUGAGACGGAUGGAUCACAAGGUCAGGAGAUCGAGACCAUCCUGGCUAACACGGUGAAACCCCGUCUCUACGAAGAAUACAAAAAAUUAGCUGGGCAUGGUGGCGGGUGCCUGUAAUCCCAGCUACUUGGGAGGCUGAGGCAGGAGAAUGGUGUGAACCUGGGAAGUGGAGCUUGCAGUGAGCCAAGAUCGUGCCACUGCACUGCAGCCCAGGCGAGACAGUGAGACUCCGUCUCAAAAAAAAAAAAAGAGAGAGAAGGAGAUUACAAAGGUGGUCCUGACCUUUGAUAAAUCUCAUUAUUGCUUGAUACCAACCUGGGCUAUCUUUAUUGCCCAAACCAAUAGGAUAAUGUGCUGAGGUUAGGGAGCUUCUCCCCUGCAGAGAAUCCCUGAUCUCCCAAAAUUUGGUUGAUAUCUAAGGUUGAUUGCCAUACAACUCCUUUUCUGAAGUUUUUCUUAUUUCCAACAAGGCAAGUUUUCCUGCUUCCAUGAUGAUGGAGAGCAGGCACCUCCUUUCUUGAGUUUCAGCUUGCUUCUGACAGGGAAGGUGAGUGUAAGUUUUUUCCAGCUUCUAAGAUGGCAGAGAACAAGCACCAGCCUGAGACUUAUUUCCAGCAGAGCUGGAAGCUGUAUCUUCAAAAUAUGUCUGUUUGACUCAAAACAAUCAAGGUAUUCAACAGGAGUUAUUAUGUAUGAAAAAAUACAACAGGAAUGUAAAAAACUAGAGGAGGCUAAAAUGAUGUUGGAAGAAGUAAUAUUAAAUCUUAAAAAACGUAUGGAAAGUACACAUUGGUGAAGUACAAAAGUAUAAAUUGGAUCUAGAAGAAAGGGCAAUGCAGGCAAUGGAAAAAUUAGUACAAAUCCCUUUACAGUAAUGAUUCUCAGUGUGGAGUCAUUUAAUUAUUAAGACCCAUUGACAUGAGAUUACAUCCUCUGCCUAUAAAAAUCCUGGAAGAAAACCUAGGAAAUAUUCAUCUGGACAUUGCACUUGGCAAUGAAUUUAUGGAUAGAAAAUGCAGUUGAAAGAUAUUUCAUAAAGGAAGAAAAAGUAAGAAUACAGGUGAGAGAUAUUACUGAGAUUUUCUUUCAGUGCAAUUCUGGUCUUUUCUGACUAGCAAUAUUUUUAUGUGCAGAAGUACUAGAAAAGAUAAAUAUUUUGUACAGUAGAAAAACACAUCAUUUCUGUGCCAUGGAAGAGAGAACUCACAAAGAUGACAGCUUCUGGAUAUCUUGGAUACUAACCAGUACUGUAAGUACCCAGCGAUCUGACAUUAACAUUGGCUGUAAAGCUCCUUUAAUGUCCCUUGCAAUGAUUUGAACCUGUUACUGGAACCCUCAUCGCUUAUUGAGUUGAAAAACAUUGUUGAUAUGUGUUUAUCUUAUAUUUGCAGUAGAGUCAUAAUUUUACUUCUUAGAAAAUUAUGCAUUAAACAAAAAAAGACAAAUGAAAUUCUAUAUUGUUUAAUGUUUCAACUGUGAUAAUUACUCCAUAUGCAUAUUUAAAUUCCUAUUUGAUAAAGGAUAGGAAAUACAGAAAGAAUUCUUG
Molecule: long non-coding RNA, 1582 nt
Filed under: Pan troglodytes (chimpanzee)
Lineage: Eukaryota; Metazoa; Chordata; Mammalia; Primates; Hominidae
Description: long non-coding RNA NONPTRT004216
Source: RNAcentral